This 1633-nucleotide ribosomal RNA is filed under the name Aurantiochytrium limacinum. RNAcentral describes it as "partial Eukaryotic large subunit ribosomal RNA". It matches the Rfam family "Eukaryotic large subunit ribosomal RNA", at positions 11 to 1286 of the family's 3401-position model. Lineage: Eukaryota; Bigyra; Thraustochytrida; Thraustochytriidae. The record is from RNAcentral.
UCAUGUGAGAUUACCCGCUGAAUUUAAGCAUAUUACUUAGCGGAGGAAAAGAAACUAACAAGGAUUCCCUUAGUAGCGGCGAGCGAAACGGGAAAAGUCCAGCACUGAAUCCCUCGUCCAUUGGGCGAUGGGAAAUGUAGUGUUUGGGAGUGUCCGUUAACUCGAAGCUAAACAGCUAGUCCAAGUCCGAUCUUUAAUGGGGCCAUUGCCCAUAGAGGGUGCCAGGCCCGUAGAGGCAGCUGUUGGCUUCGAGCGUGGGCGUCUCCUUAGAGUCGGGUUGCUUGAGAGUGCAGCCCUAAGCCGGUGGUAUACUCCAUCUAAGACUAAAUAUGACCACGAGACCGAUAGCAAACAAGUACCGUGAGGGAAAGUUGAAAAGAACUUUGAAGAGAGAGUUCAAUAGUACGUGAAACCGUUUAGGGGUAAACACGUGAAACUCGAUUCUAGUGCAGGGAGAUUCAGUAUUGGCCGCGGCGGUCGUGCCGGAUGUUUGGUGAGUCGGUUGUGCAAACUCUGGUUUCGGCUAGGGCGCGUGCACCAUUGCCCGUUCGGUAUUGUGCCGUUGCAUGUGCCAGUACGCACUUCUCCCUGCGUAUACUACGUCGCGACCGGUUGGUAUUAUGGGUGAUUGAAUUCACCUCGUGGGGACCUACGGCCCGUGUCGCAGCCUGGUUCGGUCUUAGCGUUCUUGUAAUGCGGACCGGCCAGAGGCAUGGUGUUUCCCGGAUCCCUCACCGACCGUAGCAAAUGAAGGUGGUAGCCCGCGCUACGUGCGCGUCCAUAGUCGCUUUCGGUCUUAAUGCGGUCGUGUUUGCCGGUCACCGAACGGGCUUGUCCCUUCGGCCUGUGCCACGUCGUGUUUGUAGGACCGAUCGAGUCAACAUUUGGACCGUGGCUUUACUUACACCAGUCAUGCGACGCUUUUGUAUCGGGCAGAUUACGUGACCCGUCUUGUAACACGGACCAAGGAGUCUAACAUGUGCGCGAGUCAUUGGGUAUAUGAAAACCUAAAGGCGUAAUGAAAGUGUAGGCUGUGUUUAACCGCAGCUGAGGGAGGAUGCCGGAUUGGUUGCAAACCAACCCAGCCGGCCGCACUCCCGGGGCGUCUCAUAGUCUCAUUGCGAGCGGAGGCGCACCUAGAGCGUACACGUUGGGACCCGAGAGAUGAUGAACUAUACCUGGUCAGGACGAAGUCAGGGGAAACCCUGAUGGAGGUCCGUCGAGAUUCUGACGUGCAAAUCGAUCUCUCGAACUGGGCAUAGGGGCGAAAGACCAAUCGAAUCAUCUGUUAGCUGGUUUCACCGGAAGUUUCCCUCAGGAUAGCUGGCGCACAUUUUACAAGGUGUUACAUCCGGUAAAGCGAAUGAUUAGCGGCCUUGGGGUCGAAAUGACCUCAACCGAUUCUCAAACUUUAAAUGGGUGUGUACUGCGACUUGCUAGAAUGAAGUCGUAGAAAAAAACCAAGUGUGCCAAGUGGGCCAAUUUUGGUAAGCAGAACUGGCGCUGUGGGAUGAACCAAACGCUGAGUUAAGGUGCCUAAAUCAACGCUCAUGAGAUACCAUGAAAGGCGUUGGUUGCUGGAGACAGCAGGACGGUGGCCAUGGAAGUCGGAAUCCGCUAAGGAGUGUGUAAC